Molecule: ribosomal RNA, 253 nt
Filed under: uncultured bacterium
Lineage: Bacteria
Description: partial 16S ribosomal RNA
Rfam family: Bacterial small subunit ribosomal RNA
Source: RNAcentral
UACGUAGGGUGCGAGCGUUAAUCGGAAUUACUGGGCGUAAAGCGUGCGCAGGCGGUUAUGUAAGACAGGUGUGAAAUCCCCGGGCUUAACCUGGGAAUGGCAUUUGGGACUGCAAGGCUGGAGUGUGGCAGAGGAGACUGGAAUUCCUGGUGUAGCAGUGAAAUGCGUAGAUAUCAGGAGGAAUACCGAUGGCGAAGGCAGGUCUCUGGGCUGACACUGACGCUCAUGCACGAAAGCGUGGGGAGCAAACAGG